UAGAGUUUGAUCCUGGCUCAGGAUGAACGCUAGCUACAGGCUUAACACAUGCAAGUCGAGGGGAAACGACAUCGAAAGCUUGCUUUUGAUGGGCGUCGACCGGCGCACGGGUGAGUAACGCGUAUCCAACCUGCCCACCACUUGGGGAUAACCUUGCGAAAGUAAGACUAAUACCCAAUGAUAUCUCAAGAAGCCAUCUGAAUGAGAUUAAAGAUUUAUCGGUGAUGGAUGGGGAUGCGUCUGAUUAGCUUGUUGGCGGGGUAACGGCCCACCAAGGCUACGAUCAGUAGGGGUUCUGAGAGGAAGGUCCCCCACAUUGGAACUGAGACACGGUCCAAACUCCUACGGGAGGCAGCAGUGAGGAAUAUUGGUCAAUGGGCGAGAGCCUGAACCAGCCAAGUAGCGUGCAGGAUGACGGCCCUAUGGGUUGUAAACUGCUUUUAUAAGGGAAUAAAGUGAGCCUCGUGAGGCUUUUUGCAUGUACCUUAUGAAUAAGGACCGGCUAAUUCCGUGCCAGCAGCCGCGGUAAUACGGAAGGUCCGGGCGUUAUCCGGAUUUAUUGGGUUUAAAGGGAGCGUAGGCCGGAGAUUAAGCGUGUUGUGAAAUGUAGACGCUCAACGUCUGCACUGCAGCGCGAACUGGUUUCCUUGAGUACGCACAAAGUGGGCGGAAUUCGUGGUGUAGCGGUGAAAUGCUUAGAUAUCACGAAGAACUCCGAUUGCGAAGGCAGCUCACUGGAGCGCAACUGACGCUGAAGCUCGAAAGUGCGGGUAUCGAACAGGAUUAGAUACCCUGGUAGUCCGCACGGUAAACGAUGGAUGCCCGCUGUUGGUCUGAAUAGGUCAGCGGCCAAGCGAAAGCAUUAAGCAUCCCACCUGGGGAGUACGCCGGCAACGGUGAAA
Molecule: ribosomal RNA, 902 nt
Filed under: uncultured bacterium
Lineage: Bacteria
Description: bacterial SSU rRNA
Rfam family: Bacterial small subunit ribosomal RNA
Source: RNAcentral